AAUGGGCGCAAGCCUGAUCCAGCCAUGCCGCGUGUGUGAUGAAGGCCCUAGGGUUGUAAAACACUUUCAGUGGGGAAGAUAAUGACGGUACCCACAGAAGAAACUCCGGCUAACUCCGUGCCAGCAGCCGCGGUAAUACGGAGGGAGCUAGCGUUGUUCGGAAUUACUGGGCGUAAAGCGCACGUAGGCGGAUUUGUUAGUCAGAGGUGAAAUCCCGGGGCUCAACCUCGGAACUGCCUUUGAUACUACAAGUCUAGAGACCGAGAGAGGUGAGUGGAAUUUCCAGUAUAGAGGUGAAAUUCGUAGAUAUUGGAAAGAACACCAGUGGCGAAGGCGGCUCACUGGCUCGGUACUGACGCUGAGGUGCGAAAGCGUGGGGAGCAAACAGGAUU
This 392-nucleotide ribosomal RNA is filed under the name uncultured Gammaproteobacteria bacterium. Its description in RNAcentral is "bacterial SSU rRNA". It matches the Rfam family "Bacterial small subunit ribosomal RNA", at positions 370 to 779 of the family's 1533-position model. Lineage: Bacteria; Pseudomonadati; Pseudomonadota; Gammaproteobacteria. The record is from RNAcentral.